This 460-nucleotide ribosomal RNA is filed under the name uncultured bacterium. RNAcentral's name for it is "partial 16S ribosomal RNA". It matches the Rfam family "Bacterial small subunit ribosomal RNA", at positions 338 to 795 of the family's 1533-position model. The record is from RNAcentral.
CCUACGGGUGGCAGCAGUGAGGAAUAUUGGUCAAUGGACGAGAGUCUGAACCAGCCAAGUAGCGUGAAGGAUGACUGCCCUAUGGGUUGUAAACUUCUUUUAUAUGGGAAUAAAAUGUUCCACGUGUGGGAUUUUGUAUGUACCAUAUGAAUAAGGAUCGGCUAACUCCGUGCCAGCAGCCGCGGUAAUACGGAGGAUCCGAGCGUUAUCCGGAUUUAUUGGGUUUAAAGGGAGCGUAGGGGGAUUUGUAAGUCAGUUGUGAAAGUUUGCGGCUCAACCGUAAAAUUGCAGUUGAAACUGGCAGUCUUGAGUACAGUAGAGGUGGGCGGAAUUCGUGGUGUAGCGGUGAAAUGCGUAGAUAUCACGAAGAACUCCGAUUGCGAAGGCAGUUCACUGGACUGCAACUGACACUGAGGCUCGAAAGUGUGGGUAUCAAACAGGAUUAGAUACCCGAGUAGUC